UGACCACGAGACCGAUAGCAAAUAAGUACCGUGAGGGAAAGUCGAAAAGAACUUUGAAGAGAGAGUUCAAGAGUACGUGAAACCGUUCAAGGGUAAAUUUGAGAAAACCGAAAGAUCGAAGGGAAAGAUGCAAUGUUAUCGUUGCCUUCCAUUUAUUGGCGUGCGAUUGACCGGGAAUACGCCGUUGGUUUAUGCGUUAGGCGGCGUUGGCAUGCACUUCUCUCUCAGUAGGACGUCGCGACCCGUUUGGUGUCGAUCUACGACCGCGGCGGUAGCCUGUCACGCAUUUAUUCGCGCCAGACCCCGUGUGCUCCGGUCGACUGCCAGACAGUAUAAACGAUAUGGUAUAGGGUCGCUUUUAAGCGUUCGGCCGGUUGCAAGCACGGACGGUAAUUGGCCGUCGGACCUAGUCCGGCAUCGAUGCCGCCUCGAGCUGUUAGCUACCGUGUUCUCGGACGGACUCUAUUACCGGUCAGCGAUGCUAUUGCUUUGGGUACUUUCAGGACCCGUCUUGAAACACGGACCAAGGUGUCUAGCAUGUGCGCGAGUCAUUGGGAAAUACAAAACCUAAAGGCGCAAUGAACGUAAAGGUUUGCUUAAGUAAACUGAGGGAUAACGGACCGCAUCUAUGGAUGCGUGCUUGCAAUCCCGAGGCGUCUUACUCUCAUUGCGAGAAGAGACGCACUCAUAGCGUACACGCUAGGACCCGAAAGAUGGUGAACUAUGCCCGGUCAGGUCCAAGUCAGGGGAAACCCUCAUAGAGGACCGUAGUGAUUCUGACGUGCAAAUCGAUCGUCGAAACUGGAUAUAGGGGCAAAAGACUAAUAGAACCAUCUAGUAGCUGGUUCCCUCCGAAGUUUUCCUCAGGAUAGCUGGCAUUCGAUGAACGAGUCUCAUCCGGUAAAGCGAAUGAUUAGAGGCCUUGGGGCCGAAACGACCUCAACCUAUUCUCAAACUUUAAUUGGGUGAGAUCUCUGGCUUGCUUGAAGAGUGAAGUCAGAGAUUUGGAUCAGAGUGCCUAGUAGGCCACUUUCGGUAAGCAGAACUGGCGCUGUGAGAUGAACCAAACGCCGAGUUAAGGCGCCUAAACAACGCUAAUGGCAUACCAUGAAAGGCGUUGGUUGCUUAAGACAGCAGGACGGUGGCCAUGAAGGUUGGAAUCUACUAAGGAGUGUGUAACAACUCACCUGCCGAAGCAACUAGCCCUGAAAAUGGAUGGCGCUGAAGCGUCGUGCCUAUACUCGGCCGCCAGGGUAUGAGAAACGUUCAUAAUAGUUUGUUUUGACGUUCUGGUGAGUAGGAGGGUCGCGGUUGAGUGCGCAGAAGGGUUUGGGCGUGAGCCUGCCUGGAGCCGCCAUCGGUGCAGAUCUUGGUGGUAGUAGCAAAUACUCCAGCGAGGCCCUGGAGGACUGACGUGGAGAAGGGUUUCGUGUGAACAGCCGUUGCACACGAGUCAGUCGAUCCUAAGUCCCAGGAGAAAUCCUAUGUUGAUGUUGGUGUAUUUUAUUUUGAAUAAAAUUUCGGGCCCUCGCAAGAGAGUUCGUCGGGGUAACCCAAAAUGACCUGGAGACGCCGUCGGGUUAUACGGAGAGAGUUUUCUUUUCUGUAUGAGCGUUCGAGUUUCCUGGAAUCUUUUAGAAGAGAGAUAGGGUUUGGAACGCGAAGAGCACCGCUGUUGCGGCGGUGUCCGUAUCUUCACCUCGGACCUUGAAAAUUCAGGAGAAGCCACGGUAGGCGUCGCGCCGGUUCGUACCCAUAUCCGCAGCAGGUCUCCAAGGUGAAGAGCCACUAGUCGAUAGAUAAAUGUAGGUAAGGGAAGUCGGCAAAUUGGAUCCGUAACUUCGGGAUAAGAAUUGGCUCUGAGAAUCGGGACGUGCCGGCCUUGGUUGGAAAGCGGGCGUAGGCCAAUGUGCCGAGCCUGGGCGAGGUGAAAUUGUCCUUGUGACUUAGAUCCGAGCUCGGACCCGUGUCUAGGCCCAUCGCGGAUCUUUCUUGCUGCGAGGUUUCUGUGCCGGCUUCGGUCGGUCAGUCGUACUCUUCGGCCGCCAUUCAACGGUCAGCUCAGAACUGGCACGGACUAGGGGAAUCCGACUGUCUAAUUAAAACAAAGCAUUGCGAUGGCCCUAGCGGGUGUUGACGCAAUGUGAUUUCUGCCCAGUGCUCUGAAUGGCAACGUGAAGAAAUUCAAGCAAGCGCGUGUAAACGGCGGGUGUAACUAUGACUCUCUUUGGUGGGAGAAGCUGCGAUUUCAUUGAAGCCAAGGUCGAGCACGUGGCCUCCCCGAGGUCGGUUGCGUAGGAGACUGUGGUUUCUUUGAAACCGCAGUCAAGCACGUGGCCCCCUUCGCGUGGGUCCCACUGUUAGUACCCCCCGGCGGAAACUAAGAGCUACCGCUGCGCCUAUGGACCUGGGGGCUUCCAACCCUCUCGUUCCUUAACUACAGUCGGUCCUAACUAUACAAACUUAGCCUCGGAUGAACGUAAUAAUUCGGGUAGGCCCACUGGCUUACCCACACUGACUGUAUCUGCGAGUCAUUUGUGCCGCUUUCCACAUUGCGGAAAAUCCUUCCAAACCAUAAUUGUCCGUGGAGUGCAUGAACAGAAAAUACACAAGGAUUGGU
Molecule: ribosomal RNA, 2620 nt
Filed under: Ctenocephalides felis (cat flea)
Lineage: Eukaryota; Metazoa; Arthropoda; Insecta; Siphonaptera; Pulicidae
Description: eukaryotic LSU rRNA
Rfam family: Eukaryotic large subunit ribosomal RNA
Source: RNAcentral